AAAGAUAUGUGGCCGGGGAAGACAUUGUAAAUGGUGUGUGUACUCUUGUUUUUCUCCCACAAAAGAGGAAAAACCAAGGGGAUGGUGAGGGACUAAAGGCUGCAGAUAGCCAUGGGCAGCUUAAUGAGGAAUGGAAAGACGGAAUAAUACCCUGGUUCUUGGGAUUUAAUCAGACUCACCAACCCUUGAUCUACAUAAACUCUGCCAUUUACUCUUCAGCACCUCAAUUAAAGUCAGUGAGUGGGAGCCAGGAAAAAAGAGUUGCUUCACCGAGGCAGAGUUUCAGUGUCGCAAGAUGAGAAGGUUCUACUACAUUGAAGAUAUCAAUAUGUAAUACAAUAAGCAUUGUUAAUUCCCUACCACUCUGUUUGUAACUCUGUAAUGUCUGUACUGAUCCUAUGCUAUUUUGUAAAAUGUUGUCGGUCUGUUAGUAUUUUCC
RNAcentral lists this long non-coding RNA (439 nucleotides) under Chinchilla lanigera (long-tailed chinchilla). RNAcentral's name for it is "lncRNA (ENSCLAG00000029278.1)". Lineage: Eukaryota; Metazoa; Chordata; Mammalia; Rodentia; Chinchillidae. The record is from RNAcentral.